Molecule: ribosomal RNA, 281 nt
Filed under: uncultured bacterium
Lineage: Bacteria
Description: partial 16S ribosomal RNA
Rfam family: Bacterial small subunit ribosomal RNA
Source: RNAcentral
GGCUAACUACGUGCCAGCAGCCGCGGUAAUACGUAGGUGGCGAGCGUUGUCCGGAUUUACUGGGUGUAAAGGGCGUGUAGGCGGGCAUACAAGUCAGAUGUGAAAACUACAGGCUUAACUUGUAGACUGCAGUUGAAACUGGUUUUCUUGAGUGAAGUAGAGGUUGGCGGAAUUCCGAGUGUAGCGGUGAAAUGCGUAGAUAUUCGGAGGAACACCGGUGGCGAAGGCGGCCAACUGGGCUUUAACUGACGCUGAGGCUCGAAAGUGUGGGGAGCAAACAG